CCCAGCAGUGGUCAGCUGUCCCGACAGACCCAUUGCUAUGAUGGUGUUACACUGCUGGGAGAGGAAUGUCUUGUCUUCCUCUGGUGGCCUUUGUCACUCUUCUGGUCACAUCUGGCACUGGGGCAAGGCACAGCUGUGCUUCCCUGAGAGUGUGCUAAGCAUUCACCUGGCUGCUUAGCUCUAGUCUGGGAGCAGACACA
Trichechus manatus latirostris (Florida manatee) is the source of this 200-nucleotide small nucleolar RNA. RefSeq annotates it as small nucleolar RNA SNORA74. The record is from RefSeq and is a predicted model, not a curated record. The transcript has a single exon. Lineage: Eukaryota; Metazoa; Chordata; Mammalia; Sirenia; Trichechidae.